AUUGAACGCUGGCGGCAUGCUUUACACAUGCAAGUCGAACGGCAGCGCGGGCUUCGGCCUGGCGGCGAGUGGCGAACGGGUGAGUAAUGCAUCGGAACGUGCCCAGUAGUGGGGGAUAGCCCGGCGAAAGCCGGCUUAAUACCGCAUACGAUCUGAGGGUGAAAGCGGGGGACCGACAGGCCUAGCGCUAUUGGAGCGGCCGAUGUCGGAGUAGCUAGUUGGUGGGGUAAAGGCUUACCAAGGCGACGAUCCGUAGCUGGUCUGAGAGGGCGACCAGCCACACUGGGACUGAGACACGGCCCAGACUCCUACGGGAGGCAGCAGUGGGGAAUUUUGGACAAUGGGGGCAACCCUGAUCCAGCCAUGCCGCGUGAGGGAAGAAGGCCUUCGGGUUGUAAACCGCUUUUGUUCGGGAAGAAAUCCUCUGGGCUAAUACCCCGGGGGGAUGACGGUACCGGAAGAAUAAGCACCGGCUAACUACGUG
Molecule: ribosomal RNA, 484 nt
Filed under: uncultured bacterium
Lineage: Bacteria
Description: partial 16S ribosomal RNA
Rfam family: Bacterial small subunit ribosomal RNA
Source: RNAcentral